RNAcentral lists this transfer RNA (72 nucleotides) under Paludibacteraceae bacterium. RNAcentral describes it as "tRNA-Thr". It matches the Rfam family "tRNA". From Rfam's summary of the family: Transfer RNA (tRNA) molecules are approximately 80 nucleotides in length. Their secondary structure includes four short double-helical elements and three loops (D, anti-codon, and T loops). The record is from RNAcentral. Lineage: Bacteria; Pseudomonadati; Bacteroidota; Bacteroidia; Bacteroidales; Paludibacteraceae.
GCCGGAGUAGCUCAGUGGUAGAGCAGGGGUUUUGUAAACCUCAGGUCGUGAGUUCGAAUCUCUCCUCCGGCU